UUAAAAAAAAGGGCAUCCUGUUGAGGGAGAAAGAACUUCGCUUGGUCGGUAUCAUUUUGGCCUUGCUGGACAUGUCAACAUUUUGUUUGUAGUACCUGCGUAGAAAUGUCAAACCACCUGUACAAACGUACAAAUACCACCCCAGGGAUCGCGAUGAUGCUAGCCAGCAGUCCAGCACACACUAGCUUGUCCUGAAGAUCCAUGCAACACCGUAUACAGAGGAAAUUUAUGGACACGGCAAUGUAAACAUCCCCCAUAU
Molecule: long non-coding RNA, 259 nt
Filed under: Zea mays
Lineage: Eukaryota; Viridiplantae; Streptophyta; Magnoliopsida; Poales; Poaceae
Description: long non-coding RNA (ZMAY_LNC001196)
Source: RNAcentral